RNAcentral lists this ribosomal RNA (468 nucleotides) under uncultured bacterium. Its description in RNAcentral is "partial 16S ribosomal RNA". It matches the Rfam family "Bacterial small subunit ribosomal RNA", at positions 28 to 507 of the family's 1533-position model. The record is from RNAcentral.
GACGAACGCUGGCGGCGUGCUUUACACAUGCGAGUCGAACGGAAAGGCCCUGCUUUUGUGGGGUGCUCGAGUGGCGAACGGGUGAGUAACACGUGAGUAACCUGCCCUUGACUUUGGGAUAACCUCAGGAAACUGGGGCUAAUACCGGAUAGGAGCUCCUGCUGCAUGGUGGGGGUUGGAAAGUUUCGGCGGUUGGGGAUGGACUCGCGGCUUAUCAGCUUGUUGGUGGGGCAGUGGCUUACCAAGGCUUUGACGGGUAGCCGGCCUGAGAGGGUGACCGGCCACAUUGGGACUGAGAUACGGCCCAGACUCCUACGGGAGGCAGCAGUGGGGAAUAUUGCACAAUGGGCGGAAGCCUGAUGCAGCAACGCCGCGUGCGGGAUGACGGCCUUCGGGUUGUAAACCGCUUUCGCCUGUGACGAAGCGUGAGUGACGGUAAUGGGUAAAGAAGCACCGGCUAACUACGUG